This 764-nucleotide ribosomal RNA is filed under the name Mammaliicoccus lentus. RNAcentral's name for it is "partial 23S ribosomal RNA". It matches the Rfam family "Bacterial large subunit ribosomal RNA", at positions 2163 to 2925 of the family's 2925-position model. Lineage: Bacteria; Bacillati; Bacillota; Bacilli; Caryophanales; Staphylococcaceae. The record is from RNAcentral.
CGUGAGCGCUAGCUUACGUGGAGGCGCUGGUGGGAUACUACCCUGGCUGUGUUGACUUUCUAACCCGCACCAUUUGAUCAUGGUGGGAGACAGUGUCAGGCGGGCAGUUUGACUGGGGCGGUCGCCUCCUAAAGAGUAACGGAGGCGCUCAAAGGUUCCCUCAGAAUGGUUGGAAAUCAUUCGCAGAGUGUAAAGGCACAAGGGAGCUUGACUGCGAGACUUACAAGUCGAGCAGGGUCGAAAGACGGACUUAGUGAUCCGGUGGUUCCGCAUGGAAGGGCCAUCGCUCAACGGAUAAAAGCUACCCCGGGGAUAACAGGCUUAUCUCCCCCAAGAGUUCACAUCGACGGGGAGGUUUGGCACCUCGAUGUCGGCUCAUCGCAUCCUGGGGCUGUAGUCGGUCCCAAGGGUUGGGCUGUUCGCCCAUUAAAGCGGUACGCGAGCUGGGUUCAGAACGUCGUGAGACAGUUCGGUCCCUAUCCGUCGUGGGCGUAGGAAAUUUGAGAGGAGCUGUCCUUAGUACGAGAGGACCGGGAUGGACAUACCUCUGGUGUACCAGUUGUCGUGCCAACGGCAUAGCUGGGUAGCUAUGUAUGGACGGGAUAAGUGCUGAAAGCAUCUAAGCAUGAAGCCCCCCUCAAGAUGAGAUUUCCCAACUUCGGUUAUAAGAUCCCUCAAAGAUGAUGAGGUUAAUAGGUUCGGGGUGUAAGCGCAGUAAUGUGUGUAGCUGACGAAUACUAAUCGAUCGAAGACUUAAUCAAAUU